AGACCCGAAACCCGGUGAUCUAGCCAUGGGCAGGUUGAAGGUUGGGUAACACUAACUGGAGGACCGAACCGACUAAUGUUGAAAAAUUAGCGGAUGACCUGUGGCUGGGGGUGAAAGGCCAAUCAAACCGGGAGAUAGCUGGUUCUCCCCGAAAGCUAUUUAGGUAGCGCCUCGUGAAUUCAUCUCCGGGGGUAGAGCACUGUUUCGGCUAGGGGGCCAUCCCGGCUUACCAACCCGAUGCAAACUGCGAAUACCGGAGAAUGUUAUCACGGGAGACACACGGCGGGUGCUAACGUCCGUCGUGAAGAGGGAAACAACCCAGACCGCCAGCUAAGGUCCCAAAGUCAUGGUUAAGUGGGAAACGAUGUGGGAAGGCCCAGACAGCCAGGAUGUUGGCUUAGAAGCAGCCAUCAUUUAAAGAAAGCGUAAUAGCUCACUGGUCGAGUCGGCCUGCGCGGAAGAUGUAACGGGGCUAAACCAUGCACCGAAGCUGCGGCAGCGAACGUAUCACCCAAGACAACUUUACGGAGUUGACGAUUGACGGAGCGAAGCGACGUCAAAGCGUUCAUUAAAGUCGAGUUGGCUUAGGGAUACGUUCGUUGGGUAGGGGAGCGUUCUGUAAGCCUGUGAAGGUGUGUCGUGAGGCAUGCUGGAGGUAUCAGAAGUGCGAAUGCUGACAUAAGUAACGAUAAAGCGGGUGAAAAGCCCGCUCGCCGGAAGACCAAGGGUUCCUGUCCAACGUUAAUCGGGGCAGGGUGAGUCGACCCCUAAGGCGAGGCCGAAAGGCGUAGUCGAUGGGAAACGGGUUAAUAUUCCCGUACUUGGUGUUACUGCGAAGGGGGGACGGAGAAGGCUAUGUUGGCCGGGCGACGGUUGUCCCGGUUUAAGGGUGUAGGUGUGUGUUCCAGGUAAAUCCGGUUCACUUUAACACUGAGGCGUGACGACGAGGCACUACGGUGCUGAAGCAACAAAUGCCCUGCUUCCAGGAAAAGCCUCUAAGCAUCAGGUAACACGAAAUCGUACCCCAAACCGACACAGGUGGUCAGGUAGAGAAUACCAAGGCGCUUGAGAGAACUCGGGUGAAGGAACUAGGCAAAAUGGUGCCGUAACUUCGGGAGAAGGCACGCUGACACGUAGGUGAAGUGAUUUACUCAUGGAGCUGAAGUCAGUCGAAGAUACCAGCUGGCUGCAACUGUUUAUUAAAAACACAGCACUGUGCAAACACGAGAGUGGACGUAUACGGUGUGACGCCUGCCCGGUGCCGGAAGGUUAAUUGAUGGGGUCAGCGUAAGCGAAGCUCCUGAUCGAAGCCCCGGUAAACGGCGGCCGUAACUAUAACGGUCCUAAGGUAGCGAAAUUCCUUGUCGGGUAAGUUCCGACCUGCACGAAUGGCGUAAUGAUGGCCAGGCUGUCUCCACCCGAGACUCAGUGAAAUUGAACUCGCUGUGAAGAUGCAGUGUACCCGCGGCAAGACGGAAAGACCCCGUGAACCUUUACUAUAGCUUGACACUGAACAUUGAGCCUUGAUGUGUAGGAUAGGUGGGAGGCUUUGAAGUGUGGACGCCAGUCUGCAUGGAGCCGACCUUGAAAUACCACCCUUUAAUGUUUGAUGUUCUAACGUGGACCCGUAAUCCGGGUUGCGGACAGUGUCUGGUGGGUAGUUUGACUGGGGCGGUCUCCUCCUAAAGAGUAACGGAGGAGCACGAAGGUUGGCUAAUCCUGGUCGGACAUCAGGAGGUUAGUGCAAUGGCAUAAGCCAGCUUGACUGCGAGCGUGACGGCGCGAGCAGGUGCGAAAGCAGGUCAUAGUGAUCCGGUGGUUCUGAAUGGAAGGGCCAUCGCUCAACGGAUAAAAGGUACUCCGGGGAUAACAGGCUGAUACCGCCCAAGAGUUCAUAUCGACGGCGGUGUUUGGCACCUCGAUGUCGGCUCAUCACAUCCUGGGGCUGAAGUAGGUCCCAAGGGUAUGGCUGUUCGCCAUUUAAAGUGGUACGCGAGCUGGGUUUAGAACGUCGUGAGACAGUUCGGUCCCUAUCUGCCGUGGGCGC
RNAcentral lists this ribosomal RNA (2047 nucleotides) under Salmonella enterica subsp. enterica. RNAcentral's name for it is "partial 23S ribosomal RNA". It matches the Rfam family "Bacterial large subunit ribosomal RNA", at positions 711 to 2654 of the family's 2925-position model. Lineage: Bacteria; Pseudomonadati; Pseudomonadota; Gammaproteobacteria; Enterobacterales; Enterobacteriaceae. The record is from RNAcentral.